UGGAGAGUCAGGUCAGCGACCACCGACUGUCAGCAUAUUGCUGUGCACAUCCUUGUCUGGCCCAGGCUCUCUCUUCUACUUAUCUGGGAGCAGAGGAUGGAUACGGAUGUGUGAGUGGAAGGAAGUACUUGUGAAGCAGGGCGCGGCAGACUCGUCCCUCAUCACGCCUCUGGUGAGCACAGAGAAGCUCGGCACUGUCACCAUCAAUGACAAGAGGGGAUAACUGAUGUGCCAGGAGUGUUGGCCAGCCCAGGGGACCAUGACCGGAUGGAUUUGGACCUCCAGAGGCAGGUCACACUUAGGAAAAAGAUUCUUAAACACUGCUCUGGAACUCUCGACUCUAGUGUGAAUAAAGAAUAGCACACCUGCUCUACCAUUCAGAAACCUAAAGUUCAGAGAGAAGAAGCAAGAUGAAAGGCGUUUUAAAGAUAAAUGGUAAAACUGAACUGGAAAUCCAUCUGGCCAGCUGCCUGCUCUAAUGAAUAACCCCACUUUGGCUCGUGCAAUGUAAGCAGAAAGUUCUCUCCCGGCCUCUUUCGUCUGUCAUGAAUCUACGAGACAGCCGACAUAAUAUCUGGGCGACAGCGGUGCGCUAACAGCGCAGUGACUUCCAUUUUCUUUGCUUUCUAUUGAUUUUCACUUAAUAACUGGCGAAAUACUAAACGUCCGCCCUGAGUACCUAAUAAAUCCUGCCUGAGCUUUUUAUUGAGGAGAAUUUAAUAAAAACAACCAUUGCGGCAGAGGGAUUUUUCUUCUGGACAGAACAGAGGGGUAGGGGACAGCGGGGUUGGGGCAAGAGGAAGCCAUUUGAUUUUUUUUUUUUUUUUGAAAUGGGACUUGCUCCCCUUUGGAAAAGCAGUACCAUGUCAAGGAUGCCCUAGUGUUUGAACCAGGUUCCUUCAGAAAUUCACUACAUGCGGGCUCUGUGGCCAACAUGAGGAAAGGAUUCAAGGGCUUGGCAAAAACCAGCUUUCUGGUCCUCUGACACCUGAUGUCAAGGUUUGGCCAAGGAUUUCCUCACUGUUACCAGUGGCUGUCAAAAAUCUAUAAGAACAUGCUAUUUUACUAUACUAUUUAACCCUUAUUUUGGAUCUGAUACUAUUGUAGAAAUGCAAGCAUGACAUGCCCAUUGGAGUCCUCAUCUACCUUUAACAGAACUCUAGAUAUUAAGACAAGUGGUAAACAUCUGAGGGGCAAAGGCACAUACAAAUUUUUCCAUUUUAUGCUAACUUGAGGCUCACAAAUUCACUUUUGGGGCAAAGUUCUUUCUUGGUGGCUUUUUAAAACCCAAAGAAAAUUGGAAAGCAUGGGUUCUGUGUCCCUCACCAUCUUCCU
Hipposideros armiger (great roundleaf bat) is the source of this 1335-nucleotide long non-coding RNA. RefSeq lists it as uncharacterized. The record is from RefSeq and is a predicted model, not a curated record. The transcript is spliced from 3 exons. Lineage: Eukaryota; Metazoa; Chordata; Mammalia; Chiroptera; Hipposideridae.